This 253-nucleotide ribosomal RNA is filed under the name uncultured bacterium. RNAcentral's name for it is "partial 16S ribosomal RNA". It matches the Rfam family "Bacterial small subunit ribosomal RNA", at positions 524 to 776 of the family's 1533-position model. The record is from RNAcentral.
UACGUAGGCAGCAAGCGUUGUUCGGAAUUACUGGGCGUAAAGAGUGUGUAGGCGGUGCUCUAAGUUCGGUGUGAAAUCUCCCGGCUUAACUGGGAGGGUGCGCCGGAAACUGGAGUGCUCGAGCGUGGGAGAGGAAAGCGGAAUUCCUGGUGUAGCGGUGAAAUGCGUAGAUAUCAGGAGGAACACCUGCGGCGAAGGCGGAUCUCUGGGCCUUACCUGACGCUCAGGCGCGAAAGCUAGGGGAGCGAACAGG